GAGAAGACUUUAGAUAUGAUCCAGAGUACCACGGGACACGUGAAACCCUGUGGGAAGCAGGAGGGACCACCCUCCAAGGCUAAAUACUACCUAGUGACCGAUAGCGUAUAGUACCGUGAGGGAAAGGGGAAAAGAACCCCGGGAGGGGAGUGAAAUAGAACCUGAAACCCUGCACUUACAAGCUGUGGAAGCACAUUUCUUGUGUGACCGCGUACUUUUUGUAGCACGGGCCAACGAGUUACGGUAAGUAGCAAGGUUAAGCACUUAAGGUGCGGAGCCGUAGCGAAAGCGAGUUUUAACUGAGCGUUCAGUUACUUGACGUAGACCCGAAACCGGGCG
RNAcentral lists this ribosomal RNA (339 nucleotides) under Clostridioides difficile. RNAcentral's name for it is "bacterial LSU rRNA". It matches the Rfam family "Bacterial large subunit ribosomal RNA", at positions 387 to 727 of the family's 2925-position model. Lineage: Bacteria; Bacillati; Bacillota; Clostridia; Peptostreptococcales; Peptostreptococcaceae. The record is from RNAcentral.